This 446-nucleotide ribosomal RNA is filed under the name uncultured bacterium. RNAcentral's name for it is "bacterial SSU rRNA". It matches the Rfam family "Bacterial small subunit ribosomal RNA", at positions 339 to 796 of the family's 1533-position model. The record is from RNAcentral.
CUACGGGAGGCAGCAGUGGGGAAUCUUGCACAAUGGGCGAAAGCCUGAUGCAGCGACGCCGCGUGCGGGACGAAGGCCUUCGGGUCGUAAACCGCUUUCAGCAGGGAAGAGGCCGCAAGGUGACGGUACCUGCAGAAGAAGCCCCGGCUAACUACGUGCCAGCAGCCGCGGUAAUACGUAGGGGGCGAGCGUUAUCCGGAUUCAUUGGGCGUAAAGCGCGCGUAGGCGGCCUUCUAAGUCAGAAGUCAAAUGCGGGAGCUCAACUUCCGUCUGCUUUUGAUACUGGGAGGCUCGAGUCUGGUAGGGGAAGGUGGAAUUCCCAGUGUAGCGGUGGAAUGCGCAGAUAUUGGGAAGAACACCGGUGGCGAAGGCGGCCUUCUGGGCCACGACUGACGCUGAGGCGCGAAAGCUAGGGGAGCGAACAGGAUUAGAAACCCCUGUAGUCC